Molecule: long non-coding RNA, 160 nt
Organism: Hipposideros armiger (great roundleaf bat)
Lineage: Eukaryota; Metazoa; Chordata; Mammalia; Chiroptera; Hipposideridae
Exons: 5
Source: RefSeq, a predicted model, not a curated record
CCAGGAUUCGGGAACGGGCUGGGAGCCCAGCCAGGCUCUGCUGUUCCAAUGGACCAAGGACCAGGCAUUAGCGAAGGCAUGAAGCCUCAGAAGCCAGGCCUAGGAGGGGGUGUGAGCCCUCCAAAGCCAGGAUACAUGCCAGGGAAUGGGCUCCCACCAG